GUGGGGAAUAUUGGACAAUGGGCGAAAGCCUGAUCCAGCCAUGCCGCGUGUGUGAAGAAGGUCUUCGGAUUGUAAAGCACUUUAAGUUGGGAGGAAGGGCAGUAAGUUAAUACCUUGCUGUUUUGACGUUACUCGCAGAAUAAGCACCGGCUAACUCUGUGCCAGCAGCCGCGGUAAUACGAAGGGUGCAAGCGUUAAUCGGAAUUACUGGGCGUAAAGCGCGCGUAGGUGGUUUUGUAAGUUGGAGGUGAAAUCCCCGGGCUCAACCUGGGAACUGCCUCCAAAACUGCAUGACUAGAGUACGGUAGAGGGUAGUGGAAUUUCCUGUGUAGCGGUGAAAUGCGUAGAUAUAGGAAGGAACACCAGUGGCGAAGGCGACUACCUGGACUGAUACUGACACUGAGGUGCGAAAGCGUGGGGAGCAAACAGGAUUAGAAACCCUUGUAGUCC
RNAcentral lists this ribosomal RNA (450 nucleotides) under uncultured bacterium. Its description in RNAcentral is "bacterial SSU rRNA". It matches the Rfam family "Bacterial small subunit ribosomal RNA", at positions 354 to 796 of the family's 1533-position model. The record is from RNAcentral.